ACCUCCUGUUACACAGGUACAGACAGCAACUGCAGUCACUGUUGCACAGUUCUCCAUGGAGGUUCUUUUCUUACAGAUGACAAGCAGGACCUUAGAGGCUUUUCCAAAGGGAUGCCACUUGAACUGCUGGAGACACAUCUACAAGGUGGCUGUGUCAAGGAGUUACAGACUUGUCCAGCCACACCUGUGCCUGCUGGAAAAGCGUCACCCCCAGCUGCCUGGCACUCCUCUCCCUUUCCUCCUGCCUCUCCUCACCUGGGGGUUUCUGCACUUCAAACCUGACAGAUAAACUGCUCCUAGGACUGUUGCCUGAGCUUUCAGGCAAAAUGAGGUUGCAAUGAAUCCAAAAUGAUGAAACUGAGACUUGAAAUCUGAGCAUGUUGAUGGACAAGGGCACAAGUCUAAAAUGACCAGACAGCCAGUUGUCACAUGCCAUUUCUGAGCCAAAGGUAAAGCUACAAUUUGGGAAGCAGUAGCAGAAGCCUCCUGCUCUAUAUCACAAUCACUUCUCCACUCAUGACCAGAACCUGAGUGCCCUUCCCUCCACUCUAAUAAAGGUAAGCAACCCCU
Molecule: long non-coding RNA, 570 nt
Organism: Haemorhous mexicanus (house finch)
Lineage: Eukaryota; Metazoa; Chordata; Aves; Passeriformes; Fringillidae
Exons: 3
Source: RefSeq, a predicted model, not a curated record